Long non-coding RNA from Brassica napus (rape), 2686 nucleotides. RefSeq lists it as uncharacterized. The transcript is spliced from 3 exons. NCBI's taxonomy places the organism in Eukaryota, Viridiplantae, Streptophyta, Magnoliopsida, Brassicales, Brassicaceae. The record is from RefSeq and is a predicted model, not a curated record.
AGAUUCCGCAUGUCUGUUCUCGCAACUUAAAAAUUGCAGACUGUUUAACCAAAACAUUUUUUUCUCUACUUUACUAUUUUUUCAAGUAUGUGAAUUUCUUUCAAUGAAAUGGAAAGGAGAUUAUAUCUAAAAAUGCUUCAAAAUACAAAUGCCUAUGGAAGAAUCUCCAAAAAGGAUAAUAAAUACCCUUACAUACAAAGUAAGAUCCACAUUCUCUAGGAAAAUUUUAAUUUUAUCACAAAUUUGAAAUUACUUUUAAAUGAUAACUAUUUUUAUAAAUAUUAUAAAUUUAUGAUGAAAAAUUAAACUAACUCUCUUUAAUCAUUUAUAAAAGUUGUAAACCCGACGCCACCCAUUAAUAGUAUUCCAUAAAAAAAUAAUCACUAACCCUAAAUUCAAAUGUCAAUGUAUUUUUGAUUAAAAGUAUUUUUGAAAACUGCUUGCUAACUUAGAGUAUUUCAAACAAUAUCUUAGUUCUCUACUAUACUCAAUAAUGUAAGAUUCAAACUUCUAUAAAUAAUAAGUACCACUGGAAACACAAUAUACUAAAACUAGGAGGCCAAGUUCAAAUAUACCGAAACGCGAAUAAUAGUCAAUUAAUUUAAACUAUGCAAUAUACCUGAACAUUUUGUUGGUUACAGAAAUACGAAAAACAAUUCAGUUGUUCUUUUUAUUUUUGCAAGAUGAUGUAAUGAAAAUGUUUUAGGGAAUCAGUUUGCGAAUAAGUUUCUUAAAAAAAAUCUACGACUGUUUUUUACUAUCCAUGAACAGUAAAUCUUAUACUAUCUAUGGACAGUAAGCUUUUGACCACUUGUAAAUUUAACCAGAAAAAAUUUUAUUUAUCUUCUAUUUGCAUCCAAUAAUUAGUUUGUUGAAAAGAAAAUAAGUUGGAAUGUAAACAAAAAAAAAAAAAAAGUGGGAUAUUCCAUCACGAGGUGGACUCCAAGACGGUAGCGCCCCUUCUGCCAAUCUGCUCUCUACCCAACAUUUUUUUCUUGUUAAUAUAUAUCUUAUGCCCAUUAAACCAAUCCAGAAAAUUAACAUUUUGUCACAAGUAUAAAGGAUACAUUAUAUAAUUUAUUUAUUUAUUAUAUAUACACACACACUUCUCUUGUAUAUUCACACAAAGUUGUAUGCUUUCUCUUUCUCUCUCUCUCCUCUCUCUCCAUCUCUCUGUUUUAGAUCUCAUCAGGUCUUCUCUGCUUAGUAUGUGGCUUCCACGAUCUGGUAACAUGUAAUAUAUACGUCAUACUUUUUUUUGCAAAUCAAAAUUUGUGUUGUUUUGUUUCAUUUUACUGUUUUAGCUGUAUAUAAUACCAAGUUCAGACUUCAGAGUGUAUUCAGGAUUUUUCAUUCUCCUCUCUCUCUUAGGGUUUCGCUUCUUCUGUUUUUUUUCUUCUUUUUUUGGUUUGGUUCCAAUUAAGUAGAAGAGAGUAAAAUAGACGUAAUUACUUUACAUCUCAUCCAAUCAUAACAAGCCAUCUCGACUAUUCCACAAUCUUUAUCCUCCUAUAUAUAUAUAUAUAUAUACAGAUAUAUAGUAUAUACGAUUUUGCAGGGUCUAUAAAUAAGGAGGCUAAGUAUUAACUAUUUAGAGAAAUAUGUCAGUGUUAGUCAUCAAGUUUGAGUUUGUGAGGCAAAGGAUUACUACAAGAAGACUGUUAGACGAAACUGAAGAUUACUUUCCGGAGCCACGGUCGUUGUUUGCUGCUGUGGCAUCAUCAAGAUUCACAUCCGUUGAUGGACGGUGGUGGUUCACUCUACCCAAAGUUCUCUUGUGAAAAUGGGAAUCUUGAUGAUGCUGCAUCGGUAAUCAACGGCUAUCCUUUUCCUCUCUCUUUUUAUUAAAUUUAUAGUUUUUAAUCGAUCCAGAUCUUCUUCAGGUAGGUCUUGUCUGCUUGAAUUUUUUUUUGCUUUAUUCUUUUUUAUGUUAACCUAUUCUCUCCACAUAUAACUUUUUGAUACAUAAAGAUCUGACCAGAAUCUCAAGUUUUUCGCAGUAAUUUUCAUGUUGCUAACUUCCUUUCACACAAUAUACGAGUGGAUCCACGAGUUUUCUUCUAUCCAUAGGUGAACAAGAGUCAUAUCACCAAUUGAUCAAAUUAAGGUCUUCAGGAGUGGAUCGUAAUGACAACGCGGUCUCCAGCAAGGACUAUGUAACUUAAGGUCAUCUUCAAUGCUUUAAUCUCUGUUAUAUUGUAAUUUGAAAGUAUCAGCUCUACAUGGGCUGUUACUUGAGUUCGACAUGAGCUUCGGAUCUUUGUAGGCCCAUUGUCUCCUUACGGGCCUAAAGGACCUUGGACCAAGUUCUCGAACCGGGAUAAGAAGCUUUAGAGUGGAGGAAUAGUUCUUGAUGCUACAGUUUUUGAUUGAUUAGGGGUAGUCCAAGAAGUGGCAUCAAACCUAAAGUCUUGUUGCGUCUUAUCACCUAAACACAGAAAUAGUAUUUUGAAUGCAGAAACAUUCCAAGUUUUAUUUUGCAAUCAAAAUAAUCAAAAAGAUAAUUUAUUUCUUGUUGCCGCUAAACAAUCUACUCAAAUCCCCAUAGAAGAAAGUAAGAAAAAAAAAGAACAUUGUGAGAUCACUGGGGACAACAUAUAUGACCAUAAGAUUAUAAUGUGUUUUCAUUAGACCAUGAGACCCUGAGGAGGAGCAGCAGCAGGAGCCUUAGGUUUGGGUUUGUCAA